AUGGCCUUUUACUUUCUGACGCCGCUUGGCCUCCCGGCUGAGGUACGGGAAUACAUUAACAAGAUUCGCAGGGCUUACUUGUGGGUUGAUUGCGACAAGGUGUCAGGUGGCAAGUGUAAAGUGAAUUGGGAGCUGGUGUGCAAGCCUAAAUCUCUCGGAAGGCUUCGAAUUCUGAGCUUGGAGAAAUUCUCUAUAGCCCUUAGACUUAGAUGGCUUUGGUUCCAAUGGACCGAAGCAUCGAAGCCUUGGAUCAGUUUGGGAAACCCAUGCUCUGAGGCGGACAAGGAGCUUUUU
RNAcentral lists this ribosomal RNA (294 nucleotides) under Triticum aestivum (bread wheat). Its description in RNAcentral is "partial small subunit ribosomal RNA". Lineage: Eukaryota; Viridiplantae; Streptophyta; Magnoliopsida; Poales; Poaceae. The record is from RNAcentral.